This 253-nucleotide ribosomal RNA is filed under the name uncultured bacterium. RNAcentral describes it as "partial 16S ribosomal RNA". It matches the Rfam family "Bacterial small subunit ribosomal RNA", at positions 524 to 776 of the family's 1533-position model. The record is from RNAcentral.
UACGGGGGGGGCAAGCGUUGUUCGGAAUUACUGGGCGUAAAGGGCUCGUAGGCGGCCAACUAAGUCGGAUGUGAAAUCCCCAGGCUUAACCUGGGAACUGCAUCCGAUACUGGAUGGCUUGAAUCCGGGAGAGGGAUGCGGAAUUCCAGGUGUAGCGGUGAAAUGCGUAGAUAUCAGGAAGAACACCCGUGGCGAAGGCGGUUCUCUGGGACGGUACUGACGCUGAGACGCGAAAGCGUGGGGAGCGAACAGG